GACGAACGCUGGCGGCGUGCUUAACACAUGCAAGUCGAGCGGUAAGGCCCUUUCGGGGGUACGACGAGCGGCGAACGGGUGAGUAACACGUGGGUGACCUGCCCUCAGCUCUGGGAUAAGCCUGGGAAACCGGGUCUAAUACUGGAUAUGACUCCAUGACGCAUGUUGUGGGGUGGAAAGCCUUGUGCGGCUGAGGAUGGGCCCGCGGCCUAUCAGCUUGUUGGUGGGGUGAGGCCUACCAAGGCGACGACGGGUAGCCGGCCUGAGAGGGCGACCGGCCACACUGGGACUGAGACGCGGCCCAGACUCCUACGGGAGGCAGCAGUGGGGAAUCUUGCGCAAUGGGCGAAAGCCUGACGCAGCGACGCCGCGUGAGGGAUGACGGCCU
RNAcentral lists this ribosomal RNA (388 nucleotides) under uncultured bacterium. RNAcentral's name for it is "bacterial SSU rRNA". It matches the Rfam family "Bacterial small subunit ribosomal RNA", at positions 28 to 417 of the family's 1533-position model. The record is from RNAcentral.